GAGGCUAUAUCUCAGUGGUAGAGUGCAUGCCUAGCAUGCAUGAGGUCCUGGGUUCAAUCCCUAGUACCUCCA
RNAcentral lists this transfer RNA (72 nucleotides) under Camelus bactrianus (Bactrian camel). It matches the Rfam family "tRNA". Rfam says of the family: Transfer RNA (tRNA) molecules are approximately 80 nucleotides in length. Their secondary structure includes four short double-helical elements and three loops (D, anti-codon, and T loops). Further hydrogen bonds mediate the characteristic L-shaped molecular structure. tRNAs have two regions of fundamental functional importance: the anti-codon, which is responsible for specific mRNA codon recognition, and the 3' end, to which the tRNAs corresponding amino acid is attached (by aminoacyl-tRNA synthetases). tRNAs cope with the degeneracy of the genetic code in two manners: having more than one tRNA (with a specific anti-codon) for a particular amino acid; and 'wobble' base-pairing, i.e. permitting non-standard base-pairing at the 3rd anti-codon position. RNAcentral also lists the same sequence under 2 other names. Lineage: Eukaryota; Metazoa; Chordata; Mammalia; Artiodactyla; Camelidae. The record is from Rfam by way of RNAcentral.